Megalobrama amblycephala (Wuchang bream) is the source of this 187-nucleotide long non-coding RNA. RefSeq lists it as uncharacterized. NCBI's taxonomy places the organism in Eukaryota, Metazoa, Chordata, Actinopteri, Cypriniformes, Xenocyprididae. The record is from RefSeq and is a predicted model, not a curated record. The transcript has 3 exons.
AGAGAGACGCCAUACUGUUCCACUCAAAGAUGAGAUGUAAUCUCUAGCGUUUGGAGCUGUGAUUCUUCAGGACAAGAUGCCAUUCACACUUGAUACAUGAAGAUGGAUCUCAGGGAUCCCCAGUUGAAGGCAUCAGGACAUCAGAUGUUGGCCUGGACAGAUGUACCAACAGUACACCACAAAGACC